AAUCGACAGGUCAGAGAACCAAUGCUGUGAUUCUACGAGUUGCUGAGUAUGUUUAUUCCAAUUAUGCCUUCUGGAACUGGGGAAAAAACCACAGCAUGGGUUCAAUGACCCAACGGACCUGAGUGAAAUUGACAUGAGCUAAAUCUUUAUUGAUCACUUGACCUCUAUAACCUCCUACUGUAACUGGUGGAUCACAGUGUUAUUUUUGGGUCUCUUGGAAUCAUUGUUAGGUCCCAGCCAGUGCCCAGUAGUUCCUGAUACGUCUGGUUAUUUUCUUUUCCACAAUUCACAGUUACCCUGAUAAAAACAUCGCAGGUCCCUUUGGGGAAGGCUGGGAAAAAUAAAAAUAUGUAAAGUUUUAGCAGUUUUCCAGGGUCCUUCCUCAAGGGGAUUCGAUCUCCCCUUCAUUCAAUGAAUUCAGCCUGGAAACUGGCUCAAGUACAGGAAUCGAUUAUGAGGCCAUAGCUCUGUUUCUAUGAUUCAAGCGAGACUUUUGGUUUCUUAACUUGGAACUACUCUGCUGACAAAGAUCAACUAAAAGUUGAGUUGGCUUCCUCUCUAUUUCACUUCUAGGAAUAUCGUGAUCAAUUAGCCAACACUUUUAAGCAAGAGUGAAAAAAAUUCUGGUUUCCUUAAGAGAUCUGCCUAGAAGUCUCCUCACAGUCUGAAUCAGAUUAACAUUUGGGUGCUGGAGGCGAAUUGGCAGGGUGAGUAUCUGAGGGCGAAAUGCUUCCUGAUGCACCCUAAAACUAACCUGACAGACACUCAGAUCUGAUGGCUGGUGAAUUACUCAUGUCAUCUUGGUGUGGGAAGGGUCCCACCAACCAUGUGCUUGGUUAAUUUUAUGUUCUUUAUAUUUAUUUUAUACAACUUCAUUCUAAA
Molecule: long non-coding RNA, 882 nt
Filed under: Equus caballus (horse)
Lineage: Eukaryota; Metazoa; Chordata; Mammalia; Perissodactyla; Equidae
Description: lncRNA (ENSECAG00000055485.1)
Source: RNAcentral